This 483-nucleotide ribosomal RNA is filed under the name uncultured bacterium. RNAcentral describes it as "partial 16S ribosomal RNA". It matches the Rfam family "Bacterial small subunit ribosomal RNA", at positions 29 to 507 of the family's 1533-position model. The record is from RNAcentral.
UUGAACGCUGGCGGCAUGCUUUACACAUGCAAGUCGAACGGCAGCGCGGGCUUCGGCCUGGCGGCGAGUGGCGAACGGGUGAGUAAUGCAUCGGAACGUGCCCAGUAGUGGGGGAUAGCCCGGCGAAAGCCGGAUUAAUACCGCAUACGACCUGAGGGUGAAAGCGGGGGACCGAAAGGCCUCGCGCUAUUGGAGCGGCCGAUGUCGGAUUAGCUAGUUGGUGGGGUAAAGGCUUACCAAGGCGACGAUCCGUAGCUGGUCUGAGAAGACGACCAGCCACACUGGGACUGAGACACGGCCCAGACUCCUACGGGAGGCAGCAGUGGGGAAUUUUGGACAAUGAGGGCAACCCUGAUCCAGCCAUGCCGCGUGCGGGAAGAAGGCCUUCGGGUUGUAAACCGCUUUUGUUCGGGAAGAAAUCCUCUGGGCUAAUACCCCGGGGGGAUGACGGUACCGGAAGAAUAAGCACCGGCUAACUACGUG